ACGGGUGAGUAACACAUCGGAACGUGCCUAGUAGUGGGGGAUAACUACUCGAAAGAGUAGCUAAUACCGCAUGAGAUCUAAGGAUGAAAGCAGGGGACCUUCGGGCCUUGCGCUACUAGAGCGGCUGAUGGCAGAUUAGGUAGUUGGUGGGAUAAAAGCUUACCAAGCCGACGAUCUGUAGCUGGUCUGAGAGGACGACCAGCCACACUGGGACUGAGACACGGCCCAGACUCCUACGGGAGGCAGCAGUGGGGAAUUUUGGACAAUGGGCGAAAGCCUGAUCCAGCAAUGCCGCGUGUAGGAUGAAGGCCCUCGGGUUGUAAACUACUUUUGUACGGAACGAAAAGCUCUCUUCUAAUAAAGGAGAGUGAUGACGGUACCGUAAGAAUAAGCACCGGCUAACUACGUGCCAGCAGCCGCGGUAAUACGUAGGGUGCGAGCGUUAAUCGGAAUUACUGGGCGUAAAGCGUGCGCGGGCGGUUAUGUAAGACAGAGGUGAAAUCCCCGGGCUCAACCUGGGAACGGCCUUUGUGACUGCAUAGCUAGAGUACGGUAGAGGGGGAUGGAAUUCCGCGUGUAGCAGUG
RNAcentral lists this ribosomal RNA (585 nucleotides) under uncultured bacterium. Its description in RNAcentral is "bacterial SSU rRNA". It matches the Rfam family "Bacterial small subunit ribosomal RNA", at positions 102 to 683 of the family's 1533-position model. The record is from RNAcentral.